RNAcentral lists this non-coding RNA (29 nucleotides) under Rattus norvegicus (Norway rat). Lineage: Eukaryota; Metazoa; Chordata; Mammalia; Rodentia; Muridae. The record is from RNAcentral.
UCCUUUUGUUUGAGAUGAGUUGUAUGGUU